UUUGAGAUUUCAACUAAAUAUCCUCCGUCAAUAUUUUGAAAGUAAAUACAUGCAAGGAGUCAUCAAAUUACACCUCAAAAGCCAAGAAAUAUUAACAUUUUCCCAGUCCAAGAGAGGCAUAAAGUUGCAAAAGUGGAAGAACGCCAACAGUUAUCUGGAUCGUUGCAUCCAUGCAGACGUCCAUGUCCCAGCCAAAAGAUGGUUGUUGAUCACUAAAGCAUUAAGUCUAUCAAACUAAUCUCUUUCAACCAAAUAACUUCAAUCUGCACUCAAAGGACUGAAGAAUUAAC
RNAcentral lists this unclassified non-coding RNA (290 nucleotides) under Hevea brasiliensis (rubber tree). The record is from RNAcentral. Lineage: Eukaryota; Viridiplantae; Streptophyta; Magnoliopsida; Malpighiales; Euphorbiaceae.